UACGUAGGUGGCGAGCGUUGUCCGGAAUGACUGGGUUUAAAGGGGGCGCAGGCGGUCUUGCAAGUUGGAUGUGAAAUACCGGGGCUCAACUCCGGAGCUGCAUCCAAAACUGUAAGACUUGAGUGGAGUAGAGGCAAGCGGAAUUCCGAGUGUAGCGGUGAAAUGCGUAGAUAUUCGGAGGAACACCGGUGGCGAAGGCGGCUUGCUGGGCUCUAACUGACGCUGAGGCCCGAAAGUGUGGGUAG
Molecule: ribosomal RNA, 245 nt
Filed under: uncultured Eubacteriales bacterium
Lineage: Bacteria; Bacillati; Bacillota; Clostridia; Eubacteriales
Description: uncultured Clostridiales bacterium partial 16S ribosomal RNA
Rfam family: Bacterial small subunit ribosomal RNA
Source: RNAcentral